Molecule: long non-coding RNA, 490 nt
Filed under: Phoenix dactylifera (date palm)
Lineage: Eukaryota; Viridiplantae; Streptophyta; Magnoliopsida; Arecales; Arecaceae
Description: long non-coding RNA (PDAC_LNC009001)
Source: RNAcentral
GAGAGGAGUAGAGCGCGGUCUGCGGUCGUGUGCGGGAUCACGGCUGCAUCACGGCGGAAGCAGAGGUGGAGGAGGCUGGAUCGGGAGCUGAUGCACGCGGGAUCACUAGAAAUCUGGGAGGAUGACGUGGAUCUGCCGUGGAGGAAGGCUUGGAGGUGUCAUGGACGGUGAGAUGAGGUGCUUCACGGGCGGCUGGGACGUUGAUCACGAACUUUGGGCCGCGGGAUCGACGGAAUGGAGCUGGACCAUCCGGGAUGAUGGCGUGAUCCGUGGGAGGAAGGAGAGGGUGGACGGGCGCGGGAUCCAUGGAGGGAGCUGUGGGAUCACUGGGAGGCCGCCGAUCAUGGUGCGAAUGCGGCUGGAACGGGCGGAAGAAGAUGGAAAUGGUGUCUGAGAUCACGCCUUGCUGGGAGGAUUUUUGAAAUGGGGAAAGAAGCGGACGGGCGCUGAUCGCGUGAGGGAUGCGCGGAAGGUUGAAGAAGAUGAUGGC